Molecule: long non-coding RNA, 1315 nt
Filed under: Rattus norvegicus (Norway rat)
Lineage: Eukaryota; Metazoa; Chordata; Mammalia; Rodentia; Muridae
Description: long non-coding RNA NONRATT028395
Source: RNAcentral
CCUUGCUUCUUAAGUUUUCUUGUAUUUGAAAGGACCAGCCUCUGCCUAAGGUCUGGCAAGGGUCCCUUCAGAGUCAGCCAGUUCUCUUUACUGCGGCUUUCCCCUCAGACCCCAGCACCCCAUGCCCAUCUCCGAGCCCCCAGUGUCUCAUCUCACUGAGGUUUCUGCCAGGCGGCCUGGCUGCAAUCUGGUGUUAAGAUCCUAACAAUACCCUUUUUGUCUUUGUGGGGUCCCCUCACUGACAGACUCCUACACGACUCGUCUGGGUAGCCUCACAUCCUUGGCCUUUCAUUCUUGCUGUAUCUGUUGGCUUGUUGCCUUUCCUUUAGAACCGAGAGGCCACAGAGUUGAGAACAUCUUACCAUUCAUUCGAACUUCCUAACACCUGGGGUCCUGGCUGGGUAAAACUGAUUUAAGACAAAUCAACAUUGUGACGGCUUACAUUUGUGUAACAAGUCAUUUUGUGGAGCUUUCAGUAUUUUACAAACACUCAGUGCCUCCUUACAGGGUGAAUAUCAGCCCUGGGAAGCUGAGACUUCUGCCCUAGGGCCUGUGGAACUACGCUCACCAAAUGUGUAGAGCACAGGAAUGGAACUGGGCCUGAGUUCCCAAAGCAGGGCGGAGGUAUUUCUGCCUCAGUCUUUCCUCCUGCUGUCACUCCAGAGCACAACGUCUGUCUCCUGGGACCAAGUUUCCUGAGCAGAAUGCAUUACACUCGGUCCUCCCUGAGCAAACUGCAAAUGCCAGCCCUGCUCUGGCAAUGAGAUCCUCGCAUGCACGCUGGGGCAAUGACAGAUGUCGCCCUUCCCAGACAAAUCAGGGACACCUUCGCAAAUGGCUUUUAGCCUCUAGUGUUGGCUCUUCCGACCUGGCUGAAGAGAAGCAAAGGACACGUGGCUGCUGUGGCCCUUCAACUUCUCUGUGCUCUCCAAAGCCCUCUCAUGGAGCAGAAUUGUCAGCACAAGGCCAAGAGAAAGAAUAUAUAUUCAAGCUCCAUUUUGCAUGUCCCUGUUGAAUAAAGAGCUCUGAGAUUAGAAACAAGAAUCACGCACAAAUAUUUGAAAACGUUUCUCCUGUGAUAGUUCCUUGUCCAGAACACUAGAAUAGUCUUUACCUUGGUGUACCUGGGAUUUUAAUUAUAGGACACACCACCCCAAGGCCCAUACUCUGGAUGUUCAAGCAUUAUAGGGGGUAUAAUAUUGUCAGUCCAAAUCCUUUAUACUAUCCCCUCUAGAUUACUUAUAAUGUGCAAUGUAAACACUUGUUCUACUUUAUUAGGUAAUAUCAAGAGAAAAGUCUUUAAAAAUACUUUUCA